This 484-nucleotide ribosomal RNA is filed under the name uncultured bacterium. RNAcentral describes it as "partial 16S ribosomal RNA". It matches the Rfam family "Bacterial small subunit ribosomal RNA", at positions 30 to 507 of the family's 1533-position model. The record is from RNAcentral.
AUUGAACGCUGGCGGCAGGCCUAACACAUGCAAGUCGAGCGGAAGAAGGGUGCUUGCUCCUGGUUUCAGCGGCGGACGGGUGAGUAAAGCAUAGGAAUCUGCUUGGUUGUGGGGGAUAAUGUCUGGAAACGGGUGCUACUACUGCCUACGUCCUGCGGGAGCAAGUGGGGGAGCUUCGGACCUCAUGCUCUCAGAUGAGCGUAGGCCGGAUUAGCUAGCUGGUGGGGUGAAGGCCUACUAAGGAGACCAUCCGCAACUGGUCUGAUAGGAGGGUCAGUCGCACGGGAACGGAAACACGGUCCAGACGCCUACGGUAGGCAGCAGUGGGGAAUAGGAGACAGUGGUCGAAAACCUGGUCCAGCCAGGCCGCGUGUGUGGAGAAGGUCUUCGGAUUGUAAAGAACGUUAAGUUGGGAGAAAGGGCAUUAAGUUGAGACCUUGCGGUUGUGACGGUACCAACAGAAGAAGCACCGGCUAACUUCGUG